CUUCCCAUUAAAACAAUCAAGAAUGAUGGCGAAUUUAAUAUAUUUGAUUAGAGAAACUCCAAUUUGGUGCACUUGAAUCAGCUGCCUUUGUCUUCAGCUCCUGAUGGCCCUGUUUCAGUGGAAUGUCCUCACUGGCCACUGCCAGCUCCCUCAGGCUCGGAGAACAUUCCACAUUUGCCUGGCAUGCUCAGAAACAGGGCAGCUAUGCUGCGGGAAAUGCCAGGCCCACUCUGUCCUAAUCAGAGGGAGCGCCACUUCAUUAGAUCAUGGUCACUUGCUGGUGACCCUCAGAGGUGUAGCCUGAGGACAAAGGACGUUAUGGUCCUCCUAAGCAAUGUUGACUUUUCACGGUUAUUUAUUACUUCCCUCAGUUGGUACUUACCAAUGCGAUCCAGGCCUGACUCCUACACAAACAACCCCCAUAGACUCCCGUGUUCAAGUUGCACAGAUGAAUUUUGGAGAAAGUAAUCACAUUUAAAUAUGGAGUCCCUUCCAUUAAAAAUAAAUAGAAACUCAGGGGAAAAUAGAAAAAGUGUCCUCACCCCCCGCCCCCCGUGUCAUUAAGAGAGCUUGCAAUCGUGUCUAAGUAGCACCCACUUUGCAGAAACCUUGAAAGGUGUUUCAGGGGAGCCAGGGAGUACAGACUUAGACAAUGUCACUUAUUCACACUUAAAAUACAUGGUGAUUUAGCGCUAUCACUAUUUAGUCUAGAUAAGUGCUCGAUGAACAAGUAAGGACUGAAUUAAAGAUGAGAGUCUGAACUGUGGCAGAGAUAUGUGGGCUCUCUUGAAUUCAUAGGGAUUUCCUUGGAUAGUUUCUACUCACUGCCAGUAUCGUAUUGAACUGAGACGGACUAGGCUACAAAGACAGUUAAACUCAUUGCCUGCUUAAUCACAAAGGAAAGAAGUUGGAAUCCGCCCCACAUUGCCACCUGGCUUAGUCCCUGCCUAUGAUUGCCUGUGAUAGGAAACCAAACCCAAGGGACUAUGGCCAAGUAUAAAAUAGCAUCCAGGUUUCUGGGUCUCAGCACCCGUGUCCAGUCUGUGAAGCAGCCUGUCAACAAGAGACUUUAAAGUCUCUGCUACACUUGGGAAGAGUUACCUAGGAAGGAGGGCACCUCCUGGGGGUGACUGGGGGCUGCAAGGGAUACUUCCCUUGGAGAUCAACUGGCAGCCCAUCAGUUUGGCCUGCUACACAAGUCAGAGACCUCUGAGGAGGGCUAAAGAUGUUUUGGCUCCACACCCAAAAGCACUCUGAGCGUGGGGCAAGAAGAACCAGCCAGCCUUCCAGAAAGGCCAGUUUCCCAAGAGCAGCAUGGGCUGCCAGGUUCAGGGACGUGCAGCCAAGGCCAGCAGGAGAUGUUCUGAGCUGCCCANGGUGAGGGAGAGGGAGAGGGAGUUUCAUGAUACUCAGCUAGAUGAAUGUGUUCAAACACAACAGAGAGCCUGCCUGCCUGCCUGCCUUCUACCUCUCCCUUUUCAGUUGAGUUUGAAGAUUCCUCUCGUAUAAGAAUUAAUAUGAAAAGAAUUCUGAACCCUAUUAUGGCAUUGUGUUAUAAUAAUGGAAUGCUCGUCCCGCCCAAUCUGGCUGGCUGUCCCCUGGACCAUGCCAACAACAAUCCAGUUCCACAGUGUGUAAGGGUGGCUGUGGGGACAGCCUCCAGAGCUGACAGAGAGGCUCUGGAUACUUCAUGACGGUCAAAUGGACAGAGUGGGUCCGGACACCCCAGCCACCUUUCUGCACACACGUGUGGACACAGGAGGACACAUGCUUGGUGUUGGGGAUUGAACUCCAGCAGUAGUGUGAGGGAUCCAGUAAGACAUGAGAAAGGUCUUCCAGCCGGAGAAAGGUUCAGCCCUGCUUGUCACUGGAAAAGGAUGCCGAAGUGCUGCCUGAGAGAGAAUAUGUCUGAUGAGUGAGGGGUGGAGUCCUGCAGUUCUACAGAAGCCCCUGGCUGCCUAGACAGUGAUAAGGAUAACAGCCUCGUAUGCAAUCAUCAAAUGGUACCACAAGGAGAGAGCACACAUUCAGAACUCACUGUAAGAGCCAGCCUGCUUCAGAGACACUGACCAGCAAGCAAUCACGGUGCUGCACAUCACACAGGGUGGAGCCAGCCGUGCGUGAGCUUCGAUGGGCGACCACAGCAAGGAAAUGGAAGCCAAAGAGAACCAAGCGCUGAACGGCCUCGAUUAAAGACCCGAAAAUGAAUACUGUGUAGGCAAAGACGGGAUUCCCCUCAGAGAGCAACAGUGGGUGAGGAUAAUCCUAGGUGUGGCAAAGAUCGAGGACCUCCACAAAGGCUCCAGCUGCAGCUUGCUGGGCUGUCUGUCCCACCAGCAGACAGGCUUCAUCAGGAAUGAAAACCAUCCCGUGGCCUACAGCAGCCCUUCAAAUAGAGUCUGGAUGGAAGCACGAAGAGACGAACACAGCCAGGUGAGUGUGGAAUGACUCUUGGCUGGCAAGCAACUGCCUCCUGAAUAGUCAGAGGAGUAUCCUUACAUCCUAAUGACAUCGUGAAACAAUUAGAACCACCAUCAGUCCCUUUUCCUCCAUCCUUGUGACUCACUGGUAAAAGCUAGAGAAUCCCUCAUCAAUUACUAAGUUACUAACCUGUGAGUCAGGUGGAUUAGAGAGGCUGAACAAUCUGCAGAACAAUUGUGCAUGUGCUUCUGACUCAGCUCAAGGUGUUAAAAGGGACCCGUCCUACAUCCCACACCUAGAAACACCUGUCUCACUCAUUUCCCAGCAUGCCUAGGACUGCUGCCCCAGUGUGGCAAGCACUAAAGCACUCGGAGCAUCACCUGAAGGUCAGCACCUCCUGCCCUCUGAUGCCCACGAGUGAAGUUCACACAGCACCACUGCAGUUUAUCAUUUAUCAAGUCCGCUACCUUUUAGGACCAGGGAGGCUCAGCUCUCUAUAACCAUCAGAAGAAACUCCUCUCCUCCCACUUCUUCCUAUGUGACGUCAUAGGGUCCAGCAUAGGAACUUGGAACAAGUAGCCCUGAGAAGUCAUUUGAGAUCAGAAGAGAGGGGUUUUUAAUCUUGGUUCACCGGAAGAGCACUGAUGCAUUUGACUUCCUGAUUUUGGCAGACCAAAUAAAACAAACAGAUUAAAAAGAGAGAAAAGGGAAGGAAGAAUAAAAGGAAGGAAGGGAGGAAGGAAAAAACAAAUCCACAAUUGACAACAAAAAGUAACUAAUAACACAGAAACUAAUUAGGACUCUGUCGUAUUUAAUUCUUCUUCAUAUCAAGGUGUCCAGGGCCACCAUUGAGUGCGGCCAAUGCUAGAGUAGACAUGCUUCUUGUGGCACACAGUGCAAGUGUUUUUAGGAGAGGAAGUGAAGCAGGGUGUGUGCUGGCUGACUCAGAGGGCUGGUAUAGGGAACGUGAGGUGCUGAGGAACCCUGGUUCCUGUUGUAACAGCCAGCUGCUUUCUCUAAGCGCUUACCUUACCCUCUCAGAAGGACCUUGUUUGUACUCCAUAAUGGAUGACUGUGGAAUGUACAUUGUAACCAUUAGUCACACGGCCGAACGGAUACAAUGGCCACUUCUAGACAUUAGCUAUUGAUGGAGGCAGACGAUGACACUCAGGACAAACUGUUCUCUGCAUGAGGAACACUGAGUAAACUGACUAGAGAGUUAUGGCUCAAGGAGGCAAGUCCUGGCAGGCAGAGAGAAAGCAGCAUGAGCCAAUGUGUAAGCCUAGACUGGCUCACUAUUCAGACUCUGGCUAAUUGACCGAGUGGUGGGGUCCAGACAGUCGUGUGUGGCCAGUGAGUACUCACAAGUCCUCCUUUCUGUGUUCCGGAAGAGUAUAACUGAGUGAGCUCCACAUGUAGGAGUUCAGUGCAUGAUAGAUUUUCUUUCCAGGAAGACUGUACAGUAUAGCUAUUGGCACGGCCAUAGGCUUGAUAUUUCAGUUCUUCUAGUUAUUAACUGGACAGCUUUGCACCAAUUCUUUCAACAGCCAAAGUCCUGGUCCUUGUCUCAGAGGAUUGUUAUGAUAAAGCUAUGUGAUAUCUCAGUCAAAAUGUGGAUGGUGUUCCUCAUUCCUGGUAUGUCGUCGUGAUUAUUGUGUCACAGUGGAUUCAGAAUGCAUUACUCCACCAUUUAUCUCCACAUGGCAGAGUUCAUCUAUAUUUGUAUGUUUGCCUUCACCCAUGGGCUAUGCAUUGCUCAGGGAAAGAGCUAUUUUUUGCAUCUUACCUGAUUCCUAGAACUGCUGUGGACCUUCCUGGAAACACAAGUACUGAGGGUGGGACACAGAGUUGGACAAAGGCCAAAGACUGAUGAUCUAUGGUCUUGUUGCUCUCUCCUACUGUUCUGGGGGCCAGAAGCUGACGCCCCUGGAAACUUAACUCUUUCUUACUGUUCUGUGCUGAUAAGGGCUAGUUUCCCACUCCGUACUUCUCUAUUUGUGUUUAAAUAAGCACUGGUUUUUCUUUUCUUCCUCUCUCAGCCCCUCACUCCUCAGGAGACUCAGAAUUCAUUAACUCUGAACCAGAGAGAAAAGAAGGA
Molecule: small RNA, 4519 nt
Filed under: Rattus norvegicus (Norway rat)
Lineage: Eukaryota; Metazoa; Chordata; Mammalia; Rodentia; Muridae
Description: uncharacterized LOC102546847
Source: RNAcentral